Molecule: long non-coding RNA, 978 nt
Organism: Homo sapiens (human)
Lineage: Eukaryota; Metazoa; Chordata; Mammalia; Primates; Hominidae
Product: long intergenic non-protein coding RNA 2098
Source: Ensembl
AGCCUCGCCCCAACUCCAACCUCAAAAAACUAGUCAUUCGGAAUUCUGAAAGACCACAGCACUCUAUGUCUACUUCUAUUAUAGAUUCAUAUUUGACCAUAAUUAUUUAUUUCAACAUUUCUCUGCACUACCAGACUUUGAGUUCCCUGGAACUAAAAAUAUUGCUUGGACCUCACGCUGUACCUGAAUACCUGGUGGGAGAGCCAGGGUUUGAAUCAGUCUUGUGUUGUCUGUUGAACUGGGUGCUGAAUGGAAUCCACCUAAACUGGCUCGUCCUCAAACUUCAUACCAGAGCAAUGAAUCACCUUCAAAGCUAACUCAGGGAGCAUAUUGGCUCCAAAGACCAUUAACCCUGGGAACUCCCCAACUGAAAGGCAUUAAGAACUUAUUUGCCUCAUAACCCAAAUUCCUGCUCCCCAAUAAAAAAUGAGUAACAUCAGGGUAUAAAAUGCCAGCUGGAAGAGUAUUCGCAACCAUAUACAAUGAAGAGUCACACUUCCAAGAAGAAAGCCGAUGUCCCACUUCAGCAUCAAAUCUAAGACACUGCAUUUCACUUUUUCUGUACAAAUAUCAUAAUCUGUUUGUUAAUCUCUUGGUUUUAUUUCAAAAAUGAAACUAUAUUUAGAGAGGGAACAAAUUCUACCAGUUGCUGUUGGAAGCAAAAGAUCUUUUUCAUUCUUGGAUGCUUUAUAUUUGGACAGAGAAAGAAUCAGAAUCCAUCCUUCUUUUUCCUAACCGGAAUUUGAGAGACAUGAGAAGGGAACUAAACACACAGGCUUCAGGAUCUGGUGGAAAGAGAUAAGGUGUCUCAACGACUGUUGGCCUCAUCAAGAGAUACUACCCCUGAUCUUUUCAUUUCACUUUCCUCGGGUCUGCCUAAACUCAGUGUCUCUCCUAGAAAACCACCCAACUCAUGAAAAACUGUUUGUAAGAAAAUGUUCUCAACACAAAGAAAUAAUAAAGGUUUGAGAUGAUAAA